Long non-coding RNA from Protobothrops mucrosquamatus (brown spotted pit viper), 635 nucleotides. RefSeq lists it as uncharacterized. NCBI's taxonomy places the organism in Eukaryota, Metazoa, Chordata, Lepidosauria, Squamata, Viperidae. The transcript is spliced from 2 exons. The record is from RefSeq and is a predicted model, not a curated record.
UGGAAAUAAGCAAAGGAAUGGGCCUCUCAUUACUCCAUUCUUGUUUCCUUUUCAGGGAUGUAAAGUGUGGCAGGUUAUUCUGUGAUAAUAAGAAGUUUCCAUGCCAUUACAAUUAUUCAGAAGACCUAGAUUUUGGAAUGGUUGAUCAUGGAACAAAAUGCGCAGAUGGAAAGGUCUGCAGCAACAGACAGUGUGUUGAUGUGAAUGAAGCCUACAAACCAACCACUGUCUUCUCUCUGAUUUGAUUUUGGAGAUUCUUCUUUCAGAAGGUUUCACUUCCCUCUAGUCCAAAGAGAUCCAUCUGCCUGCAUCCUACUAGUAAAUCACCCUUAGCUUCCAAAUGGCAUCUAAAUUCUGCAAUAUUUCUUCUCCACAUUUAAUCUGUUUACCUUUUGCUGUAAUCAAACCUUUUUCCCGCCACAAAGCUCCAUGGGUAUGUACAACACCAAAGGCUUAUUUGCUGUCAAGAAAAAUAAUGGCCAUUUUACCAUUUGCCAGUUACAAAGUACAUUUAAUACAACAAGUUCUGCCUUUAGAGCUGGUGUAUUCAAAGUCAAUGCUUCCUCUCCCAAAAUUUCACACUGACUUUCCAAGAUGUAGCUGCUUCUAUCAAUAAACUAACUAUUCUCAUUCUG